Long non-coding RNA from Brienomyrus brachyistius, 1306 nucleotides. RefSeq lists it as uncharacterized. The transcript has 3 exons. Lineage: Eukaryota; Metazoa; Chordata; Actinopteri; Osteoglossiformes; Mormyridae. The record is from RefSeq and is a predicted model, not a curated record.
CAGCUGUCAACCUUGACAAGCUCCUGUUUGGUUGGUGUCCGAAAGCCCUCCAACAAGGUGGCUAAUGGUUAACAUAUGGAAUUUCUCCAUUUAUUCAACCUCUGCUGAACACAGGAGACCAUGAAGCUGAAACAUUGAGGACUGCAGUUCCACCCUGCGAAUGCUGGGAAAGAUCAGUCUUUAUCAUCUCUGUCACACGGAGGAGGGUUUAGGGUGAAAUGCCAGGAAACCAACAUCACAUGCUUCUUUGAAUGUUUAGAGGUAUAUUCCACAUUUGUUUUGCUGAACAAUACGAAGUCCUGGGUGCCCUCUGAUACGGUGUCAUUAUUCUGGAGCUCUCCAAAGAUCCCCAUAAGCAUUCUGAAGCUCUUCAGAGAUGCCUUUCGAUGUGUUCGCCUUGCGGAAUGACUGCUGACCUGGCCAGUGAGAAACGCCUUUACGAUGAAUCCCAGCUGACGAAUCACUGUGAGCAGCUGCAGAGAGCACUGGGCUACUGAGUCACCACAAUAACAGGCCUCUGUCAGCAGCAAGGGAGGCUGGGAAAUAAGCAUCACCCCAGUGGUCCCUGGGACCUUAUCUGCCUGCCUGGGAGGCUCGCUGACCUCAUGUGCUCAGCUCUGCUGAUAUUACUCUGCGUUCGAUUACCUCUCUCCGAGUCGGAACUCCGACGAAAACGUCACGAUAAACAGCACUUCCCGUCGGAAACACGCCUCUUUUAUGGCAUUGAUGUUGGACAGAAUUUUCUUGUCCGAGUUGCCCCUGUGACGUCAUUUCAACAUGGCGGCUUACACUCAUUUUAUAAAUAUUUAAAAAUGUUUAUUUUGUUAACUGUAUUAAUAGUUAUGAAUGUAAUCACACUUGUUCGAUUUAGAGAAUACCAUAUCAUGACCGUAAACAGUAUCCUGGCAUUUCAGUUUAUUACCAUACUCAUUAGUGUCGUUGUUUGUUUGUAGUUUGUUUGCCUCUCAUAAAAAGAUCGCUCUGAAUGUACUAAAAUAUUUUAUAAAGUUUUUAAUGUGGUUUGACUGGUUCGCGUUUCUUGUUUGUUUGUCUCUCAGAAAAAAAUAAUCUCACUCCAAAUCUGCUAAAAUACUCAUGGAGGCAGCCAUGUUCGUUCUGUGAAGUGGGAGCUAGAACAGGAGAUUGUUAGACCUGACGUCACUCAACUCGGAAUUUCCACCUUCUGAGAGAUAGUCGAACCAGGAUUAUAUAUAUUUUAACAAUGCUGUGGUUCUGCCUACCUGCUGUAACCUACUAGCCUGUAAUAUACCCUGAUAUACCCAGCCCAGUGCCAGAUUGCGAGGUA